This 429-nucleotide ribosomal RNA is filed under the name Chloroflexota bacterium. Its description in RNAcentral is "Chloroflexi bacterium partial 16S ribosomal RNA". It matches the Rfam family "Bacterial small subunit ribosomal RNA", at positions 355 to 776 of the family's 1533-position model. Lineage: Bacteria; Bacillati; Chloroflexota. The record is from RNAcentral.
UGGGGAAUAUUGCACAAUGGGCGCAAGCCUGAUGCAGCCAUGCCGCGUGUAUGAAGAAGGCCUUCGGGUUGUAAAGUACUUUCAGUCGGGAGGAAGGUGGUAAGGUUAAUAACCUUAUCAAUUGACGUUACCGACAGAAGAAGCACCGGCUAACUCCGUGCCAGCAGCCGCGGUAAUACGGAGGGUGCAAGCGUUAAUCGGAAUUACUGGGCGUAAAGCGCACGCAGGCGGUUGAUUGAGUCAGAUGUGAAAUCCCCGGGCUUAACCCGGGAAUUCCAUCUGAUACGGGUCAGCUAGAGUCUUGUAGAGGGGGGUAGAAUUCCAUGUGUAGCGGUGAAAUGCGUAGAGAUGUGGAGGAAUACCGGUGGCGAAGGCGGCCCCCUGGACAAAGACUGACGCUCAGGUGCGAAAGCGUGGGGAGCAAACAGG